Molecule: ribosomal RNA, 253 nt
Filed under: uncultured bacterium
Lineage: Bacteria
Description: partial 16S ribosomal RNA
Rfam family: Bacterial small subunit ribosomal RNA
Source: RNAcentral
UACGUAGGGUGCAAGCGUUGUCCGGAAUUAUUGGGCGUAAAGAGCUUGUAGGCGGUUUGUCGCGUCUGCUGUGAAAUUUCGGGGCUCAACCCCGAACUUGCAGUGGGUACGGGCAGACUAGAGUGUGGUAGGGGAGACUGGAAUUCCUGGUGUAGCGGUGAAAUGCGCAGAUAUCAGGAGGAACACCGGUGGCGAAGGCGGCUCUCUGGACCGAUACUGACGCUGAGGCGCGAAAGCGUGGGGAGCAAACAGG